GACGAACGCUGGCGGCGUGCUUAACACAUGCAAGUCGAACGGGAUUUCGUAAACAGAAACCUCGGUGGAAGAUUACUAAUGAGAGUGGCGAACGGGUGAGUAACGCGUGAGCAACCUGCCUAUGACAGUGGGAUAGCCUCGGGAAACCGGGAUUAAUACCGCAUAAAAUCGUAGAAACACAUGUUUUAACGGUCAAAGAUUUAUCGGUCAUAGAUGGGCUCGCGUCUGAUUAGCUAGUUGGUGAGAUAACAGCCCACCAAGGCGACGAUCAGUAGCCGGUCUGAGAGGAUGAACGGCCACAUUGGAACUGAGACACGGUCCAAACUCCUACGGGAGGCAGCAGUGGGGAAUAUUGCACAAUGGGGGAAACCCUGAUGCAGCGACGCCGCGUGAACGAAGAAGGUAUUCGUAUCGUAAAGUUCUGUCCUAUGGGAAGAUAAUGACAGUACCAUAGAAGAAAGCUCCGGCUAAAUACGU
RNAcentral lists this ribosomal RNA (477 nucleotides) under uncultured bacterium. RNAcentral's name for it is "partial 16S ribosomal RNA". It matches the Rfam family "Bacterial small subunit ribosomal RNA", at positions 28 to 506 of the family's 1533-position model. The record is from RNAcentral.